RNAcentral lists this ribosomal RNA (483 nucleotides) under uncultured bacterium. Its description in RNAcentral is "partial 16S ribosomal RNA". It matches the Rfam family "Bacterial small subunit ribosomal RNA", at positions 30 to 507 of the family's 1533-position model. The record is from RNAcentral.
UUGAACGCUGGCGGCAGGCCUAACACAUGCAAGUCGCGCGGAUGAAGGGAGCUUGCUCCCGGAUUCAGCGGCGGACGGGUGAGUAAUGCCUAGGAAUCUGCCUGGUAGUGGGGGAUAACGUCCGGAAACGGGCGCUAAUACCGCAUACGUCCUGAGGGAGAAAGUGGGGGAUCUUCGGACCUCACGCUAUCAGAUGAGCCUAGGUCGGAUUAGCUAGUUGGUGGGGUAAAGGCCUACCGAGGCGACGAUCCGUAACUGGUCUGAGAGGAUGAUCAGUCACACUGGAACUGAGACACGGUCCAGACUCCUACGGGAGGCAGCAGUGGGGAAUAUUGGACAAUGGGCGAAAGCCUGAUCCAGCCAUGCCGCGUGUGUGAAGAAGGUCUUCGGAUUGUAAAGCACUUUAAGUUGGGAGGAAGGGCAGUAAGUUAAUACCUUGCUGUUUUGACGUUACCAACAGAAUAAGCACCGGCUAACUUCGUG